AUUUGCUGUAGCUGGGUUCUAUGAGUUGAUGGUGCAGGCGCCGCCGAUACAGGUUCUGGUUGUGUAACAGGUUCGAUUUCUGCAACAGUUUC
Molecule: transfer RNA, 92 nt
Filed under: Calothrix sp. NIES-4105
Lineage: Bacteria; Bacillati; Cyanobacteriota; Cyanophyceae; Nostocales; Calotrichaceae
Also listed under: 1 other name
Description: tRNA-Cys
Source: RNAcentral